RNAcentral lists this ribosomal RNA (201 nucleotides) under uncultured bacterium. Its description in RNAcentral is "partial 16S ribosomal RNA". It matches the Rfam family "Bacterial small subunit ribosomal RNA", at positions 1300 to 1500 of the family's 1533-position model. The record is from RNAcentral.
GUAGUCUGCAACCCGACUACAUGAAGCUGGAAUCGCUAGUAAUCGCGGAUCAGAAUGCCGCGGUGAAUACGUUCCCGGGUCUUGUACACACCGCCCGUCACACCAUGGGAGUCGGAAAUGCCCGAAGUCAGUGGCCCAACCGGAAGGAGGGAGCUGCCGAAGGCAGGUCCGGUGACUGGGGUGAAGUCGUAACAAGGUAAC